UCAAAGAACUACCUGAUUCCAUUGGAAAUUUAGAAUUGCUGAUUGAGUUGGAUAUAUCUGAAAGUGAGAUCAAAGAACUCCCUGAUUCCAUUGGAAGUUUGGAAUCACUGAUUAAGUUGAAUAUAUCUAGUACGGUAAUCAAAGAACUACCUGAUUCCAUCGGAAAUUUAGAAUCGCUGAUUGAGUUGGAUAUAUCUAAAAGUGAGAUCAAAGAAUUACCUGAUUCCAUUGGAAAUUUGAAAUCGCUGAUUAAGUUGGAUAUAUGUGGAAGUGAGAUUAAAGAACUACCAGAU
Molecule: long non-coding RNA, 293 nt
Filed under: Eucalyptus grandis
Lineage: Eukaryota; Viridiplantae; Streptophyta; Magnoliopsida; Myrtales; Myrtaceae
Description: long non-coding RNA (EGRA_LNC005164)
Source: RNAcentral